Long non-coding RNA from Thunnus maccoyii (southern bluefin tuna), 1001 nucleotides. RefSeq lists it as uncharacterized. The record is from RefSeq and is a predicted model, not a curated record. Lineage: Eukaryota; Metazoa; Chordata; Actinopteri; Scombriformes; Scombridae. The transcript has 5 exons.
GUUCAGAUGGCUUGUGACCGCGUUUGUGCUCAUCGGACUGAGAGUCGAGCCCGGGCCUGACAACUGGUGGUGCAUGGGAGUGAGCCACAGAGCCAGCCAGUCUGCUCCCAUCAGCCUGAUACAGGCCCGCACCAAAAAAUCACCCAGAAUAUUUACAGAGGAAUUCCCACCGAGAGGCACCGAGCAGCCGGCGGACUCUUUACUGGCACACCGGACCUGCAGUGUGCAAACACCCAGAGAUGAGGAUGAAUGAAUGGAGGAAAAAAAAAAAAAAAAAGGUUGAUACAGGCCGGGGCUGCAGUUGACGACAAGGCACUUAUUGGUGUCAGCAAGAGGAAGAUGUGAAAGAAGAUGAAAGACAGCUCUUUAUAUGAAGAUUUCGAUCAGAGGAAGCGGCUGUAUGGAUCAUAACCCUGGAUUUCUAUCAACAACCGAGCAGAGAUCUCAUCUCAGCUGAGAAAAAAGUUUUGCUGCGAGUUUGCCUGUUUGGAGGAAUGGAGCUGCAACACCUUCAGCCCGGCAGGUUUGAUGGAUACGUUGCCGCUGCUGCCGCCGCUGCUGCUGCUGCUGUUGCUGCUGCUGCUGCUUUGCAAAAAAGGAGUUCGCCGACAAACAAACGGAUGCAAUUAAACACACUCGCCUUCAGAUCAUCAAUGAGGAGGCAAAGUCAAGACUGGUGGAAAAACCGACAAGGACAAAUAUAAGGCGGGAGGAAGUGUGCGUGUGUCCUGCUGCCUCAAGGUUAACACUGACUGAAUGACUGGAUGCUUUCUACUUCUUCCACAAAGACACGUCGCUAGAUGCUUUUUUUUUUCACAACUUGAUAUAACUCUCAAUUCAUGUUAUAUUUUGGUAUAUGUGCUGAAGAAUUUAACAAAGUUUAUUUAUGAUCGUAUUUAUGUUUCAUCUCUGUCUCCGCACUGUCUUGAAAGUAAUUAAAAAUGAAUUUGCAAACACAGACGUCUAUGCUGAUAUCACUGUCAAACCUCCACCCUGCUCUC